GUCUCUUAUUCCGGGGCCAUCGGCCCCUCUAAAGAAACACUGGCCCGAAGGGGCAUCGCUGUCGAGCAGGAGGGGAACGUGGAGGCCCUCCAGUCACCCCUUCGGUAGGCAGAUGCUGAAACAGGCUCAGUGACAUUGAGCCGCUGCUGGCGAACUCCCGUCUUCCUAAUUCCAAGUCCAGAGCUCCGUCCUCUAUGCCGUGUUGCCUUUUCCAUUUCUGGCGUAGCCGCCUAUGUGCCAGGCACUGUGCAAAGACAAGUGAAGCUAUUCCUGCUCCCAAGCCCGCGAUAGAACGGGGGAGGUUUUCAGGGAGCUGGGACACUAGUGGCCGGGAUGGGGGUUUCUUGUACAAGGUGGGACUGCAGUCCUGAAGAGAGGGAUCCCAUGAGGCAGGAGUGGCAAAAAGGAAUUCUAGGCAAAGGGAUGGCUUCUGGGGACUGCAGUGACUGGCAGAGCAGGAUCUUGAGUUUUCUGCAGUUUCCAGCCAGAAAUGUGAUGCCGACGGGCCUCUGGGGAGUCUACCGUCCGAGUCCCUUCGAGUGACAGAAUGCUUUUAUCUCAUUGUCUCCUGGGCCUCAAGGUCCAUAGAACACCCAAGCAUGCUUGCCCAUGCCCGCAAGCACACGUCCACUGAUACAGCUUCUCGGAAGGUCUUGGUGGACCCCCAAAAGUUGCCAAACCCAGAACACUGGUUUUCCUCCUCCCCUCAUCUCAGUAGUCGCCUUCUCAGCUGUCAUUUUUGUAUGGUGAUAGUAGCGUAAUAUAGAAUUAGGUUAGCCCUCAGAAAGGCAAGUCGGGUGGGGGACCUGCUUCUACAGAAUAGCUUGGAAUCCCACUUGUAUGUAUUCGGAAAAGUUGUGAUUGUGAGAACCUUCCCGUGGAACCCCCUUGUCUGUGGUCUCCCCAGUGAGCGAGUGUGACCUGGGACUCCAGAGAGGUGCCACGCCAUGACUCUGGAUUUCUGGAUGUGCAAAUAAAUGUGUUUUACUGUAGACUUGUUGAUUCCUC
This 1008-nucleotide long non-coding RNA is filed under the name Monodelphis domestica (gray short-tailed opossum). RNAcentral describes it as "lncRNA (ENSMODG00000044753.1)". Lineage: Eukaryota; Metazoa; Chordata; Mammalia; Didelphimorphia; Didelphidae. The record is from RNAcentral.